RNAcentral lists this long non-coding RNA (1369 nucleotides) under Junco hyemalis (dark-eyed junco). RNAcentral describes it as "lncRNA (ENSJHYG00000008634.1)". The record is from RNAcentral. Lineage: Eukaryota; Metazoa; Chordata; Aves; Passeriformes; Passerellidae.
CACAUCAUCAGGACUGAAUGACAUCAUCAGGAAUGACAUCAUCACCCCCUAGUCCCUCCUCACUUGGGGGUCCUGGGAAGUCUCCACUCCCCAAUUUAAUUACAUCAUCAGUAUUGCUCUGCAGUUACACCCCAUGAUGUCAUCACCACAUCCCCACCUGCUCUGAUGACAUCAUCAUCGUAUGACAUCAUCACUGGAGCCUCCAGCUCCCCUCACUUGAGCUUCCCAGGGAGUCUACACCCCCAUUUGAUUACAUCAUCAGUGUCACCCCAUGAUGUCAUCACCACAUCCCCACCCGCUUUGAUGACAUCACCAGCUCCCUCCCACUCCAAUGCCCCCCCAGCAAUGACAUCAUCAGCUGCCCAUGACAUCAUCCCAAUGAAGUCACCCCCUCACCUCCUCCUCUUCCUCGCCGCUCUCCUCCUCUUCCUCCUCCUCCCCUCUCUCCGGGGGGUUCCGGGGGGCUGUGGGGGGGGUCCCGGGGGGGCUCUGGGGGUCUCCCCCCGGGCAGCCGGUGGCCAGGGCGGCGGCCAGGGCGGGGCCACGCCGGGCCAGAGCCCCCAGGGCCGCCCCCACCCCCCCAACGUCCCCUCCCCGUGCCCGGGCAAAAAGGGUCACCAGCUCUCGGCUCACCUGCAGGGGGACACUGGGAUGGACUGGGAACCACUGGGAGGGACUGGGAACCACUGGGAGGGCACUGGGAUGGACUGGGAACCACUGGGAGGGACUGGGAACCACUGGGGAGGGGACUGGGAUGGACUGGGAACCACUGGGGAGGGGACUGGGAUGGACUGGGGAUCACUGGGGAGGGGACUGGGAUGGACUGGGGAUCACUGGGAAGGACUGGGAACCACCAGGGAGGGGACUGGGAUGGACUGGGAACCACUGGGGAGGGCACUGGGAGGGACUGGGGGUGCUGAGGGGCGAUGUGUGGGACUGGGAUGUACUGGGAGGAAGUAAAAGAGCCCUGAGAACAGACUGGUCUAUACUGGGAGGCGCUGGGAGCACCAAAGGAUGGUGAGAACAGCCUGGGGAUGCAAUGGGAUGAACUGGGAGUGGCUGCUGGGAACAUCCUUGUCCAUACUGGUUUAUACUGGGAGCUACUGGGAGAACUUGGAAGGGACCAACGGUACCAGGAAGAGACAAAGGCCACUAGAAGAUGCUGAGAGCAGCCCGAGGACAAACUGGGCUGUACUGGGAGCGCCUGGGGGAGGCUGGCCAGCUGUUGGGAGCUCUCUGCUCCAUACUGGUCCAUACUGGUCCAUACUGGGAGCCCACCUGCUGCAGGCUGCCGUCCUCCACCACCGUGUCGAACUCGUUGUCCAUCACCUCGGCCAGGAAAUCUUCAACCUCCUCCUGCUCCAGGUCA